CGGACGGUUACCCUGCCUGAGACCUAGCAACCGUCGGGUGGCUUCCUCCUGCUUUCGAGGCCGGUCGAAGACGAGGCGGAACUCUCCCAGGAAGCGUUCGAAAGGGAGAUGCGAGAUAGGAUGGGAGGCCAGGAAAGCUUGAGCCCAUUGCAGCGCCUUACUACGGAGAGAGUUCACGAUUAGUGAGAUACGAGUGUGAUCGGCUUGAUAAUACCUGGGGGCUUGUUGGAAAAUCAGUUCACAUUGCAGAAGGAACCCUCCGCAGGAUGAAACAUCCCCGAAAAAAGGUUCCGGCUGUAGUCGAACAUUUUCCGGGAUGAGGGUGGAAGCGGAUGUAGCGUUGUUGCCGGAAAUAGGAGGCGGAGCAGAGACUGUGGGCCUUGAAGUUUGACCAGAAAAUUCAUUAAGAGUCCGAGUGAUACCGUUGAUGCGAGAAACCAGAUCCUCUUGUACAGACGUAAUACGAGUCUUGACAGGUUUAUCUCUAGUCAAAGAGCUAAGGCUAGCUGGAGAAAUCUUGAGGAGGAAUUUCCUUGAGGGAGUUCUGCGGCGUGGGCGAGGCUUGAACCAUGGCGAGGAGAGGCGGCUGGCUGGAGGUUUCUUGAGGCGGAUAGACAGCAGCGUAGGAGGACAGCGACCAGGAGGAACAACGAACUGGCACCGGCUGAUGAUCCAGGAGGAGCUUAUGAAGGAAGGUGUAGAUGAGGUGAGUGAAUCCAGCUGGUCGCGUCCAACACAGGAAGGAGGGGGGAGGAGGGAGUAGCUGCCAGGCCAU
Molecule: non-coding RNA, 775 nt
Organism: Oryzias latipes (Japanese medaka)
Lineage: Eukaryota; Metazoa; Chordata; Actinopteri; Beloniformes; Adrianichthyidae
Source: RefSeq, a predicted model, not a curated record